UACGGGGGGGGCAAGCGUUGUUCGGAAUUACUGGGCGUAAAGGGCGCGUAGGCGGCCUUCUAAGUCGAACGUGAAAUCCCUGGGCUCAACCCAGGAACUGCGUCCGAUACUGGAAGGCUUGAAUCCGGGAGAGGGAUGCGGAAUUCCAGGUGUAGCGGUGAAAUGCGUAGAUAUCUGGAGGAACACCGGUGGCGAAGGCGGCAUCCUGGACCGGCAUUGACGCUGAGGCGCGAAAGCCAGGGGAGCAAACAGG
Molecule: ribosomal RNA, 253 nt
Filed under: uncultured bacterium
Lineage: Bacteria
Description: partial 16S ribosomal RNA
Rfam family: Bacterial small subunit ribosomal RNA
Source: RNAcentral